CUUGCCUAUUAUUCUUGCAGAAAUACGCAUGACUCCCCACAAAUCAUUGAAACUGUCACCCUUUGAAAUACUAAUGGGAAGACCCUUUCCCACCCCAUGGGCUAAGAAACCCCUGGCCUUGCAGUAAGGAGAUUUAGAACAAAUUCAGGAUCACUAUGUUAGGACAUUGAUAACCAAACUAGAUGAGAUAGAACAAAAGUUGUCUGUAAGUUUCCUUCUCUUCCACAGGAAAACACCCACCCUUUUAUACCAGGAGAUGUUGUAGUUAUAAAAUGAUUGACCAAAGAUAAAAGAGCCAAAUAUUUUGCUUAUGGUCCAGAGACGAAUGUGGUAGCCGUUACCCGGACCACAAUACUGACGGAAGAGAGCCCAACAUGGAUCCAUGCCACCCGAGUAAAACUGGUGCCUAGAGCCAGACAAAGAGAGGUAAUAACGAGGGCGGACAGCCCUGACCUCCGACUAGAAGCAAGUACAAGUGAGGUAACAACGAGGGCGGACAGCCCUGACCUCCGACAAGAUGACGUCGCUUAUUUCACCACAUACUUCUGGGAAAGCCUUGUGCCUCCUAUUCUGGACUGCCCUGAUUGUAUUCCUGCCAGUUGGCUGAUAACUAACUGUAUCUAUCAUCCUGAAGAUUUGGGACAUAUAAAGAACAUUUGUGGAGCUUCUAACACUCCACAACAGAACAAUAUGAAUAAUACACAUGA
Long non-coding RNA from Rana temporaria (common frog), 707 nucleotides. RefSeq lists it as uncharacterized. The record is from RefSeq and is a predicted model, not a curated record. NCBI's taxonomy places the organism in Eukaryota, Metazoa, Chordata, Amphibia, Anura, Ranidae. The transcript is spliced from 2 exons.